Long non-coding RNA from Ornithodoros turicata, 640 nucleotides. RefSeq lists it as uncharacterized. The transcript has 5 exons. Lineage: Eukaryota; Metazoa; Arthropoda; Arachnida; Ixodida; Argasidae. The record is from RefSeq and is a predicted model, not a curated record.
CUGCGUCAUGCAGAGGUACCCGCGCAGGACUUGUUUUUUGAAGUCCUGAGGUGCCUGAAACGCGGACGACACCGUGUGCGGUGUAUCAUUCCACCGUUUCCCUCUAGACGUUGCCAGUGCUGAAGCUACGUGAACAUCUGUCUGGGGACCUGAGCUCCCACAUUAAGGAAACUGAUGUAGAACAUGGCUUGCUUUUUGCGGCGUGGAGCUCCAGGACCGUUCCCCUCUACAAUUCCACUCUCGCGUCCUGUGUUCACAGCACUUCCCACCAAGUGCAUUUUUGCGCACAGGAAGGUUGAGAUGGAAUGCAUUUCCAACACUGAGGCGUACUUUUCCAGAAGCUGGACCGAGCAGGACCCUCAGCACAGAAACUGCAGAGGCUGUGGAAGCAGCUGGUACAGGAGGCACUGACACAGCAGAGAUGUGUACAUCACAGUUGCACUCAGGAAGUGGGACUGAAGCCCUGCAACCCUGCCCGCCGGUGAGUGCUGAGCGGCACGAGUCCAGUCUCCACGACCACUGCUAUGCUUCAAUCGCACCACCCUUGCCAACACAGACUGGUAUGCUCCUGACAGCAAGCGACGUCUUGCAGCUUUCUUUGCAGCACCAGUCGAAGUCACCACAGCAUGCAGCAUGUACG